This is a non-coding RNA of Apiotrichum porosum, 132 nucleotides long. NCBI's taxonomy places the organism in Eukaryota, Fungi, Basidiomycota, Tremellomycetes, Trichosporonales, Trichosporonaceae. The record is from the annotation of a RefSeq genome assembly.
GGCCGUUUAGCUCAGUUGGUUAGAGCGUACGCUUCACAGUCACAAAACACCAACUUCGAUCCACUUCUUCACGAGUGGGACGGAGGUCCUGGGAAGCGCGUAAGGUCGGCGGUUCGACCCCGCCAAUGGUCA